This 132-nucleotide small RNA is filed under the name Veillonellaceae bacterium DNF00626. Its description in RNAcentral is "Streptococcus sRNA SpR18". It matches the Rfam family "Streptococcus sRNA SpR18". The record is from Rfam by way of RNAcentral. Lineage: Bacteria; Bacillati; Bacillota; Negativicutes; Veillonellales; Veillonellaceae.
GGGAAUAAUAGCAAAAUUUUCUAAAAUGGCUACCGGUAUUCAAAUGGUACCGGAAGUAAAAAAGAAUAAACUAAAUAAUAGUUCCAAGUGGUUUACAUGAGGACAAAAAAUUAGACCGUAGUUUUGAACUAU